GAACGCUGGCGGCGUGCCUAACACAUGUAAGUCGCACGGGACUGGAGGGCAACUUCUAGUUCAGCGGCAGACGGGUGCGUAACACGUGAGAAACUUGUCCAACGGCGGGGGAUAGCCGGCCCAACGGCCGGGUAAUACCGCGUACGAUCAUUCGGGGGCAUCCCUAAAUGAAGAAAGCAGCCGCAAGGUUGCGCCGAUGGAGAGUCUCGCGGCCUAUCAGCUAGUUGGCGGGGUAAUGGCCCACCAAGGCAACGACGGGUAGCUGGUCUGAGAGGAUGGCCAGCCACAUUGGGACUGAGACACGGCCCAGACUCCUACGGGAGGCAGCAGUGGGGAAUCUUGCGCAAUGGCCGCAAGGCUGACGCAGCGACGCCGCGUGUGGGAUGACGGCCUUCGGGUUGUAAACCACUGUCGGGAGGAACGAAUACUCGGCUUCGAAUAGGAGCCCGAGGGUGACGGUACCUCCAAAGGAAGCACCGGCUAACUCCGUGCCAGCAGCCGCGGUAAUACGGAGGGUGCGAGCGUUGUCCGGAAUCACUGGGCGUAAAGGGCGCGGAGGUGGCCCGUUAAGUGGCUGGUGAAAUCCCGGGGCUCAACUCCGGGGCUGCCGGUCAGACUGGCGAGCUAGAGCACGGUGGGGGCAGAUGGAAUUCCCGGUGUAGCGGUGGAAUGCGUAGAUAUCGGGAAGAAUACCAGUGGCGAAGGCGUUCGGCUGGGCCGUUGCUGACACUGAGGCGCGACAG
This 743-nucleotide ribosomal RNA is filed under the name uncultured soil bacterium. Its description in RNAcentral is "bacterial SSU rRNA". It matches the Rfam family "Bacterial small subunit ribosomal RNA", at positions 31 to 759 of the family's 1533-position model. The record is from RNAcentral.